RNAcentral lists this transfer RNA (73 nucleotides) under Clostridiales bacterium. Its description in RNAcentral is "tRNA-Thr". It matches the Rfam family "tRNA". Rfam says of the family: Transfer RNA (tRNA) molecules are approximately 80 nucleotides in length. Their secondary structure includes four short double-helical elements and three loops (D, anti-codon, and T loops). Further hydrogen bonds mediate the characteristic L-shaped molecular structure. tRNAs have two regions of fundamental functional importance: the anti-codon, which is responsible for specific mRNA codon recognition, and the 3' end, to which the tRNAs corresponding amino acid is attached (by aminoacyl-tRNA synthetases). tRNAs cope with the degeneracy of the genetic code in two manners: having more than one tRNA (with a specific anti-codon) for a particular amino acid; and 'wobble' base-pairing, i.e. permitting non-standard base-pairing at the 3rd anti-codon position. Lineage: Bacteria; Bacillati; Bacillota; Clostridia; Eubacteriales. The record is from RNAcentral.
GCCCCCGUAGCUCAGCUGGUAGAGUGCUACCUUGGUAAGGUAGAGGCCAUGGGUUCAAAUCCCGUCGGGAGCU